UCCGCUGUAGCACAAUGGCUAUUCUAUUCAUCUCAAGAAAUUCCGGGUUCAAAUCCCGGCAGCGGAA
This is a non-coding RNA of Turnera subulata, 67 nucleotides long. The record is from the annotation of a GenBank genome assembly. Lineage: Eukaryota; Viridiplantae; Streptophyta; Magnoliopsida; Malpighiales; Passifloraceae.